AUUGAACGCUGGCGGCAGGCCUAACACAUGCAAGUCGAGCGGAUGAAGGGAGCUUGCUCCUGGAUUCAGCGGCGGACGGGUGAGUAAUGCCUAGGAAUCUGCCUGGUAGUGGGGGAUAACGUCCGGAAACGGGCGCUAAUACCGCAUACGUCCUGAGGGAGAAAGUGGGGGAUCUUCGGACCUCACGCUAUCAGAUGAGCCUAGGUCGGAUUAGCUAGUUGGUGGGGUAAAGGCCUACCAAGGCGACGAUCCGUAACUGGUCUGAGAGGAUGAUCAGUCACACUGGAACUGAGACACGGUCCAGACUCUUACGGGAGGCAGCAGUGGGGAAUAUUGGACAAUGGGCGAAAGCCUGAUCCAGCCAUGCCGCGUGUGUGAAGAAGGUCUUCGGAUUGUAAAGCACUUUAAGUUGGGAGGAAGGGCAGUAAGUUAAUACCUUGCUGUUUUGACGUUACCAACAGAAUAAGCACCGGCUAACUUCGUG
This 484-nucleotide ribosomal RNA is filed under the name uncultured bacterium. RNAcentral describes it as "partial 16S ribosomal RNA". It matches the Rfam family "Bacterial small subunit ribosomal RNA", at positions 30 to 507 of the family's 1533-position model. The record is from RNAcentral.